Molecule: long non-coding RNA, 437 nt
Filed under: Brassica napus (rape)
Lineage: Eukaryota; Viridiplantae; Streptophyta; Magnoliopsida; Brassicales; Brassicaceae
Description: long non-coding RNA (BNAP_LNC022252)
Source: RNAcentral
UUCUCUUUUAUAACCAAGAGAUUACAAACCGGAAAUAACCGAAAGUAGUAAACCAAAUGUAUCUGUCUAAACCGACCCGAAUUCAAUUUAGCUCAAAACACUCGUAUUCCAACAGAGUCGCUUCCAUUUGUUCAUGAGAUUAGGUGUAACGGCCCGGUUCCUGGCCCGUAAAAUUUCCCAAAGAAUAUGGGCUUCUCUACGGCCCAUUUGGCAAAAACCUAGGGUUUCCCUACCCCUUUCCUAUAAAAAGAGAUGCAGCCUCCCUUUUUGCCUCAUCACAAAUCUGAAGCGAAGCUCUGCAGAGAAAUCCCGGAGGCCGAAAACCCUAGCCGUCGAGCUCUCUCCCCUUCUAUCCUGCGCCGCCUCUCUCUCUUCUCUCUCUCUCUCUCCCGCGCGUCGCUCUCUCUCUCUCUCUCUCCUCGCCGACACCCCCUCUC